Molecule: unclassified non-coding RNA, 302 nt
Filed under: Hevea brasiliensis (rubber tree)
Lineage: Eukaryota; Viridiplantae; Streptophyta; Magnoliopsida; Malpighiales; Euphorbiaceae
Source: RNAcentral
UCAGCUAGAGCGUUAAGAAGCACAAACUAAACAAAAUAAAAGUGGGUAUUCUUGAAAUUGAGCAAGUAGAGUGCUUACGUGGCAAAUAGCAGCAUGGGUGUUAAGGAAGCAUUUCUGGUAAUGUUAGCAGUGUGUUCCAUGUUCGUUGUUGUUCCUCAUGUAUAUGCAAAGAUAUCAUGCGAGCAAGUGACGUUGCUACUGACUCCAUGCAUCCCCUAUGGUGUAUUUGGAGGGGACGUGCCACCAGCUUGUUGUUCAGGAAUCAAAGAAUCGCUUGCACUUGCCAAUACGACAGAAGAUCU